RNAcentral lists this microRNA precursor (93 nucleotides) under Camelus bactrianus (Bactrian camel). RNAcentral's name for it is "mir-544 microRNA precursor family". It matches the Rfam family "mir-544 microRNA precursor family". The record is from Rfam by way of RNAcentral. RNAcentral also lists the same sequence under 2 other names. Lineage: Eukaryota; Metazoa; Chordata; Mammalia; Artiodactyla; Camelidae.
AUCACCUGGGGAGAUUGUUAAAAUGCAAAGUCAGAUUUAGUGGGUCUGGAGCCUGAGAUUCUGCAUUUCCAACAAAGUCCCAGGUGAUGCCAA